RNAcentral lists this long non-coding RNA (289 nucleotides) under Musa acuminata (dwarf banana). RNAcentral's name for it is "long non-coding RNA (MACU_LNC006358)". Lineage: Eukaryota; Viridiplantae; Streptophyta; Magnoliopsida; Zingiberales; Musaceae. The record is from RNAcentral.
CGCGGGCGGGAGGGCAUCUCGAACGACGUCUCCAGCGCCGGAAAUGCGUCCUUGUUCGCGAGCCACUCGAGCUCCUCUUCCUCCUCGUCUCCUCCGCCUUUCCCCUCGGUCGGCAAGCCCUAGAAAGGUGCCACCAAACGCAAGAGAAAAAGAAAGAAAAAAAAUCAGAUUUUUAUCAUCUUCCAAGCAUAAAAAUCAGAUUUUUCGGGAGGUCGGUGCCAAACUGGAAGCCCUUCGACGGAUGGCUCAAAGAACUCCUGCAAAAUUUGGGCCUGAUGCUUCAACUCGG